This 253-nucleotide ribosomal RNA is filed under the name uncultured bacterium. Its description in RNAcentral is "partial 16S ribosomal RNA". It matches the Rfam family "Bacterial small subunit ribosomal RNA", at positions 524 to 776 of the family's 1533-position model. The record is from RNAcentral.
UACAGAGGGUGCAAGCGUUAAUCGGAAUUACUGGGCGUAAAGCGUGCGUAGACGGUUAUUUAAGUCGGGUGUGAAAGCCCCGGGCUCAACCUGGGAAUUGCAUUCGAGGCUGAAUAGCUAGGGUGCGGAAGAGGGAAGCGGAAUUUCCGGUGUAGCGGUGAAAUGCGUAGAUAUCGGAAGGAACACCCGUAGCGAAGGCGGCACUCUGGGCCGGUACUGACGCUGAGGAGCGAAAGCGUGGGGAGCAAACAGG